Molecule: ribosomal RNA, 711 nt
Filed under: Triticum aestivum (bread wheat)
Lineage: Eukaryota; Viridiplantae; Streptophyta; Magnoliopsida; Poales; Poaceae
Description: partial small subunit ribosomal RNA
Source: RNAcentral
AUGGGCUUCGAGGAAAGAGGGCUAGAGGCCAUGGUAACCUUCAUAUAUCUAGAUUGCAAGGCGCCCAAGAACAAUUUCCGCCUCGGGUUCAUGCUGCGUGUUUCGGAGAGUAUAAACAUCGUCGGAACUAUAUUACAGUUCUUGCGACAGGUGACGCCUCACUUCAAGUUCACUGCCGAAAUUGUUAUCAACAAGAUCACGCAGCUCCCCUCACAACAUUUCUUCUGUGUGCCACAAGAGGUUGCGAAUUCACACCUAGAACACUGGAACCACAUCCACACAACUUUGGCUAGAUGGUUCCGCCCAGAUCCAUUAUGCUGUGAAGGAUACAAGUUGCAUCACAAUGUGCCUUUUUCUGGUGGCGGCGGUAGCCGAAACAAAUUGAGACUUUCGGCCAUGUUUCCAGAGCCAGUCUGUCAAGUGUAUUUGCAGCGUCAAAUCUCAGUAUCUGAGUACAAUAAUCUUAUGAUGAGAUCAACCGCAGCAACUGGCAAUGCGGACACAUCUACUUGUCUGGAGAACUUCCCACCUUUGAAGCUGGGGAUUCUAUUCAUGCCUCAUAACUCAUUGGAGGAUCCUGAGUCCUCAAUCGAGGGCUCUGCGAUAGAGGCAAAUCGAUGGAGAGAAGCAACACCUCACCGCUUUAAAUGUUCACUCAGACCAACUCGACGAGAUGCUUCUCCCGAAGGCGAUAGAUUAUCUUUAUCAUAA